CGCGUAGGCGGCUUGAUAAGUCGGGGGUGAAAGCCUGUGGCUCAACCACAGAAUUGCCUUCGAUACUGUCUGGCUUGAGACCGGAAGAGGUAAGUGGAACUGCGAGUGUAGAGGUGAAAUUCGUAGAUAUUCGCAAGAACACCAGUGGCGAAGGCGGCUUACUGGUCCGGUUCUGACGCUGAGGCGCGAAAGCGUGGGGAGCAAACA
Molecule: ribosomal RNA, 207 nt
Filed under: uncultured bacterium
Lineage: Bacteria
Also listed under: 1 other name
Description: partial 16S ribosomal RNA
Rfam family: Bacterial small subunit ribosomal RNA
Source: RNAcentral